Molecule: transfer RNA, 73 nt
Filed under: Marmota monax (woodchuck)
Lineage: Eukaryota; Metazoa; Chordata; Mammalia; Rodentia; Sciuridae
Description: tRNA.Glu
Source: RNAcentral
UGUGGCUGUGGCUCAGCGGUAGAGUGCUCACCUCUCAUGUGCGGGGUGCUGGGUUCCAUCCUCAGCACCCCAA